This 465-nucleotide ribosomal RNA is filed under the name uncultured bacterium. Its description in RNAcentral is "partial 16S ribosomal RNA". It matches the Rfam family "Bacterial small subunit ribosomal RNA", at positions 28 to 507 of the family's 1533-position model. The record is from RNAcentral.
GACGAACGCUGGCGGCGUGCUUAACACAUGCAAGUCGAACGGAAAGGCCCCAGCUUGCUGGGGUACUCGAGUGGCGAACGGGUGAGUAACACGUGGGUGAUCUGCCCUGCACUCUGGGAUAAGCCUGGGAAACUGGGUCUAAUACCGGAUAGGACCGUGCUUUAGUGUGUGCGGUGGAAAGUUUUUCGGUGCAGGAUGAGCCCGCGGCCCAUCAGCUUGUUGGUGGGGUAAUGGCCUACCAAGGCGGCGACGGGUAGCCGGCCUGAGAGGGUGUACGGCCACAUUGGGACUGAGACACGGCCCAGACUCCUACGGGAGGCAGCAGUGGGGAAUAUUGCACAAUGGGCGCAAGCCUGAUGCAGCGACGCCGCGUGGGGGAUGACGGCCUUCGGGUUGUAAACCCCUUUCGGCAGGGACGAAGCUUUUGUGACGGUACCUGCAUAAGAAGCACCGGCUAACUACGUG